GACGAACGCUGGCGGCGUGCUUAACACAUGCAAGUCGAACGGAACGGCCCCCACCUUGGUGGGGGUGCUCGAGUGGCGAACGGGUGAGUAACACGUGGUUGAUCUGCCCUGUACUUCGGGAUAAGCUUGGGAAACUGGGUCUAAUACCGGAUAGGACCAUGGUUUAGUGUCUCCUGGUGGAAAAAUUAUUGUUUUGUUGCAGGAUGGGCUCGCGGCCUAUCAGUGUGUUGGUGGGGUAAUAGCCUACCAAGGCGUCGACGGGUAGCCGGCCUGCGCGGGUGGACGGCCAGAUUGGGACGGAGGUACGGCCCAGACUGCUACGGGAGGCAGCAGAGGGGAAUAUGGCACAAUGGGGGGAAGCAUGAUGCAGCGACGCCGCGUGGGGGAUGAAGGCCUUCGGGGUGUAAACUCCUUUCGUUAGGGACGAAGCCACACCUUUUCUGGGUGUGGUGACGGUACAUUUGUUAAGAAGCACCGGCUAACUACGUGC
This 490-nucleotide ribosomal RNA is filed under the name uncultured bacterium. RNAcentral's name for it is "partial 16S ribosomal RNA". It matches the Rfam family "Bacterial small subunit ribosomal RNA", at positions 28 to 508 of the family's 1533-position model. The record is from RNAcentral.